ACAGAGGGUGCAAGCGUUAAUCGGAAUUACUGGGCGUAAAGCGCGCGUAGGCGGUUUGUUAAGUUGGAUGUGAAAUCCCCGGGCUCAACCUGGGAAUGGCAUUGGAUACUGGCGACCUAGAGUGCGGUAGAGGGUAGCGGAAUUCCCGGUGUAGCAGUGAAAUGCGUAGAUAUCGGGAGGAACAUCCGUGGCGAAGGCGGCUACCUGGACCAGCACUGACACUGAGGCACGAAAGCGUGGGGAGCAAACAGGA
RNAcentral lists this ribosomal RNA (253 nucleotides) under uncultured prokaryote. RNAcentral describes it as "partial 16S ribosomal RNA". It matches the Rfam family "Bacterial small subunit ribosomal RNA", at positions 525 to 777 of the family's 1533-position model. The record is from RNAcentral.